CCGAGUGCGGGUCCUUCGGGGCCCAACCUCCCACCCGUGUCUACCGUACCAUGUUGCUUCGGCGGGCCCGCCGCUAUCGGCCGCCCGGGGGCUCAGAGCUCCCCGGGUCCGUGCCCGCCGAAGACCCCAACACGAACACUGUCUGAAAGCAUGCAGUCUGAGUUGAUUCUUUGCAAUCAGUUA
This 183-nucleotide unclassified non-coding RNA is filed under the name uncultured Aspergillus. RNAcentral's name for it is "sequence contains ITS1". Lineage: Eukaryota; Fungi; Ascomycota; Eurotiomycetes; Eurotiales; Aspergillaceae. The record is from RNAcentral.